Coregonus clupeaformis (lake whitefish) is the source of this 4279-nucleotide long non-coding RNA. RefSeq lists it as uncharacterized. Lineage: Eukaryota; Metazoa; Chordata; Actinopteri; Salmoniformes; Salmonidae. The record is from RefSeq and is a predicted model, not a curated record. The transcript is spliced from 3 exons.
ACUCUCUCAGUGGCUUAGUGAAGGGACUCAAUCACAACGAGACGCUAUAGGCCUCCUCCCUCCUCCUCUCACGCUCAUCUUUUAUCGGACGGAGGAAAUGAAAGGAUGUUAUCUGGAGCGGCGUACGCUGCACAGCGUCUUGGCCUCGGGAGACGGGUCUCGUCUGAACGAGCCAACCGGCCUAUUCUUUGGGGAACUCGCCCCUCAUAUAAAAAACAAGAGCUUUAGAAUGCCAUGCUAGGAACUCAAAGAACGGGGACAGUUUGUCAAGGCUGCGUGAUGCUAUGGUAACUGUUGGUGUGGACGGGUUAGGUGCUGUGAGUUGGUGUGUGUUGGGGUGUGGGGGGGGUGACCCCCGUAUAAGCCACUAUUAGACGGUGUUAACGUGAACAAGCGGGCAGGAACUAACAAAUAACCUGGAAUAGCAAGACGAUGGAGUUCAUAGUGGUAAGUAGAGGUCAGGGUAUUGAUGUACCAUGAUGAUGGAGAGGGUAUAGGUCAGGGUAUUGAUGUACCAUGAUGAUGGAGAGGGUAUAGGUCAGGGUAUUGAUGUACCAUGAUGAUGGAGAGGGUAGAGGUCAGGGUAUUGAUGUACCAUGAUGAUGGAGAGGGUAUAGGUCAGGGUAUUGAUGUACCAUGAUGAUGGAGAGGGUAUAGGUCAGGGUAUUGAUGUACCAUGAUGAUGGAGAGGGUAGAGGUCAGGGUAUUGAUGUACCAUGAUGAUGGAGAGGGUAUAGGUCAGGGUAUUGAUGUACCAUGAUGAUGGAGUGGGUAGAGGUCAGGGUAUUGAUGUACCAUGAUGAUGGAGAGGGUAUAGGUCAGGGUAUUGAUGUACCAUGAUGAUGGAGAGGGUAUAGGUCAGGGUAUUGAUGUACCAUGAUGAUGGAGAGGGUAGAGGUCAGGGUAUUGAUGUACCAUGAUGAUGGAGAGGGUAUAGGUCAGGGUAUUGAUGUACCAUGAUGAUGGAGAGGGUAGAGGUCAGGGUAUUGAUGUACCAUGAUGAUGGAGAGGGUAGAGGUCAGGGUAUUGAUGUACCAUUGAUGAUGGAGAGGGUAGAGGUCAGGGUAUUGAUGUACCAUGAUGAUGGAGAGGGUAGAGGUCAGGGUAUUGAUGUACCAUGAUGAUGGAGAGGGUAGAGGUCAGGGUAUUGAUGUACCAUGAUGAUGGAGAGGGUAUAGGUCAGGGUAUUGAUGUACCAUGAUGAUGGAGAGGGUAUAGGUCAGGGUAUUGAUGUACCAUGAUGAUGGAGAGGGUAUAGGUCAGGGUAUUGAUGUACCAUGAUGAUGGAGAGGGUAUAGGUCAGGGUAUUGAUGUACCAUGAUGAUGGAGAGGGUAUAGGUCAGGGUAUUGAUGUACCAUGAUGAUGGAGAGGGUAUAGGUCAGGGUAUUGAUGUACCAUGAUGAUGGAGGGGGUAGAGGUCAGGGUAUUGAUGUACCAUGAUGAUGGAGAGGGUAUAGGUCAGGGUAUUGAUGUACCAUGAUGAUGGAGUGGGUAGAGGUCAGGGUAUUGAUGUACCAUGAUGAUGGAGAGGGUAUAGGUCAGGGUAUUGAUGUACCAUGAUGAUGGAGAGGGUAGAGGUCAGGGUAUUGAUGUACCAUGAUGAUGGAGAGGGUAGAGGUCAGGGUAUUGAUGUACCAUGAUGAUGGAGUGGGUAGAGGUCAGGGUAUUGAUGUACCAUGAUGAUGGAGAGGGUAUAGGUCAGGGUAUUGAUGUACCAUGAUGAUGGAGAGGGUAGAGGUCAGGGUGUAACAGGGUAUUGAUGUACCAUGAUGAUGGAGAGGGUAUAGGUCAGGGUAUUGAUGUACCAUGAUGAUGGAGAGGGUAGAGGUCAGGGUGUAAAAGGGUAUUGAUGUACCAUGAUGAUGGAGAGGGUAUAGGUCAGGGUAUUGAUGUACCAUGAUGAUGGAGAGGGUAGAGGUCAGGGUAUUGAUGUACCAUGAUGAUGGAGUGGGUAGAGGUCAGGGUAUUGAUGUACCAUGAUGAUGGAGUGGGUAGAGGUCAGGGUAUUGAUGUACCAUGAUGAUGGAGAGGGUAUAGGUCAGGGUAUUGAUGUACCAUGAUGAUGGAGAGGGUAUAGGUCAGGGUAUUGAUGUACCAUGAUGAUGGAGAGGGUAUAGGUCAGGGUAUUGAUGUACCAUGAUGAUGGAGAGGGUAUAGGUCAGGGUAUUGAUGUACCAUGAUGAUGGAGAGGGUAUAGGUCAGGGUAUUGAUGUACCAUGAUGAUGGAGAGGGUAGAGGUCAGGGUAUUGAUGUACCAUGAUGAUGGAGAGGGUAUAGGUCAGGGUAUUGAUGUACCAUGAUGAUGGAGAGGGUAUAGGUCAGGGUAUUGAUAUACCAUGAUGAUGGAGAGGGUAGAGGUCAGGGUAUUGAUGUACCAUGAUGAUGGAGAGGGUAUAGGUCAGGGUAUUGAUGUACCAUGAUGAUGGAGAGGGUAUAGGUCAGGGUAUUGAUGUACCAUGAUGAUGGAGAGGGUAGAGGUCAGGGUAUUGAUGUACCAUGAUGAUGGAGAGGGUAUAGGUCAGGGUAUUGAUGUACCAUGAUGAUGGAGAGGGUAUAGGUCAGGGUAUUGAUGUACCAUGAUGAUGGAGAGGGUAGAGGUCAGGGUAUUGAUGUACCAUGAUGAUGGAGAGGGUAUAGGUCAGGGUAUUGAUGUACCAUGAUGAUGGAGAGGGUAUAGGUCAGGGUAUUGAUGUACCAUGAUGAUGGAGAGGGUAUAGGUCAGGGUAUUGAUGUACCAUGAUGAUGGAGAGGGUAGAGGUCAGGGUAUUGAUGUACCAUGAUGAUGGAGAGGGUAGAGGUCAGGGUAUUGAUGUACCAUGAUGAUGGAGAGGGUAGAGGUCAGGGUAUUGAUGUACCAUGAUGAUGGAGAGGGUAUAGGUCAGGGUAUUGAUGUACCAUGAUGAUGGAGAGGGUAUAGGUCAGGGUAUUGAUGUACCAUGAUGAUGGAGAGGGUAUAGGUCAGGGUAUUGAUGUACCAUGAUGAUGGAGAGGGUAUAGGUCAGGGUAUUGAUGUACCAUGAUGAUGGAGAGGGUAUAGGUCAGGGUAUUGAUAUACCAUGAUGAUGGAGAGGGUAUAGGUCAGGGUAUUGAUGUACCAUGAUGAUGGAGAGGGUAUAGGUCAGGGUAUUGAUAUACCAUGAUGAUGGAGAGGGUAUAGGUCAGGGUAUUGAUGUACCAUGAUGAUGGAGAGGGUAGAGGUCAGGGUGCAACAGGGUAUUGAUGUACCAUGAUGAUGGAGAGGGUAUAGGUCAGGGUGUAACAGGGUAUUGAUGUACCAUGAUGAUGGAGAGGGUAUAGGUCAGGGUAUUGAUAUACCAUGAUGAUGGAGAGGGUAUAGGUCAGGGUAUUGAUAUACCAUGAUGAUGGAGAGGGUAGAGGUCAGGGUGUAACAGGGUAUUGAUGUACCAUGAUGAUGGAGAGGGUAUAGGUCAGGGUAUUGAUAUACCAUGAUGAUGGAGAGGGUAUAGGUCAGGGUAUUGAUGUACCAUGAUGAUGGAGAGGGUAGAGGUCAGGGUGCAACAGGGUAUUGAUGUACCAUGAUGAUGGAGAGGGUAUAGGUCAGGGUGUAACAGGGUAUUGAUGUACCAUGAUGAUGGAGAGGGUAUAGGUCAGGGUAUUGAUAUACCAUGAUGAUGGAGAGGGUAUAGGUCAGGGUAUUGAUAUACCAUGAUGAUGGAGAGGGUAGAGGUCAGGGUGUAACAGGGUAUUGAUGUACCAUGAUGAUGGAGAGGGUAUAGGUCAGGGUAUUGAUGUACCAUGAUGAUGGAGAGGGUAGAGGUCAGGGUAUUGAUGUACCAUGAUGAUGGAGAGGGUAGAGGUCAGGGUAUUGAUGUACCAUGAUGAUGGAGUGGGUAGAGGUCAGGGUAUUGAUGUACCAUGAUGAUGGAGAGGGUAUAGGUCAGGGUAUUGAUGUACCAUGAUGAUGGAGAGGGUAGAGGUCAGGGUAUUGAUGUACCAUUGAUGAUGGAGAGGGUAGAGGUCAGGGUGUAACAGGGUAUUGAUGUACCAUGAUGAUGGAGAGGGUAGAGGUCAGGGUAUUGAUGUACCAUGAUGAUGGAGAGGGUAGAGGUCAGGGUGCAACAGGGUAUUGAUGUACCAUGAUGAUGGAGAGGGUAUAGGUCAGGGUGUAACAGGGUAUUGAUGUACCAUGAUGAUGGAGAGGGUAUAGGUCAGGGUAUUGAUAUACCAUGAUGAUGGAGAGGGUAUAGGUCAGGGUAUUGAUAUACCAUGAUGAUGGAGAGGGUAGAGGUCAGGGUGUAACAGGGUAUUGAUGUACCA